GAGUUUGAUUAUGGCUCAGGAUGAACGCUAGCGAUAGGCUUAACACAUGCAAGUCGAGGGGCAGCAUGAACUUAGCUUGCUAAGUUUGAUGGCGACCGGCGCACGGGUGCGUAACGCGUAUGCAACUUGCCUUACAGAGGGGGAUAACCCGUUGAAAGACGGACUAAUACCGCAUAUACUUAUUCGGUUGCAUGACCGGGCAAGGAAAUAUUUAUAGCUGUAAGAUAGGCAUGCGUCCCAUUAGCUGGUUGGUGAGGUAACGGCUCACCAAGGCAACGAUGGGUAGGGGAACUGAGAGGUUUAUCCCCCACACUGGUACUGAGACACGGACCAGACUCCUACGGGAGGCAGCAGUGAGGAAUAUUGGUCAAUGGGCGAGAGCCUGAACCAGCCAAGUCGCGUGAAGGAAGACUGUCCUAAGGAUUGUAAACUUCUUUUAUACGGGAAUAACGGGCGAUACGUGUAUUGCUA
RNAcentral lists this ribosomal RNA (471 nucleotides) under Porphyromonas gulae. RNAcentral's name for it is "bacterial SSU rRNA". It matches the Rfam family "Bacterial small subunit ribosomal RNA", at positions 9 to 469 of the family's 1533-position model. The record is from RNAcentral. Lineage: Bacteria; Pseudomonadati; Bacteroidota; Bacteroidia; Bacteroidales; Porphyromonadaceae.